CAGUCGCCACGGGAAUACGGAGGGUGCAAGCGUUAAUCGGAAUUACUGGGCGUAAAGCGCACGCAGGCGGUCUGACAAGUCAGAUGUGAAAUCCCCGGGCUUAACCUGGGAACUGCAUUUGAAACUGUCAGGCUGGAGUCUUGUAGAGGGGGGUAGAAUUCCAGGUGUAGCGGUGAAAUGCGUAGAGAUCUGGAGGAAUACCGGUGGCGAAGGCGGCCCCCUGGACAAAGACUGACGCUCAGGUGCGAAAGCGUGGGGAGCAAACAGGAUUAGAGACCCGUGUAGUCCCUGUCUCUUAUAC
This 301-nucleotide ribosomal RNA is filed under the name uncultured bacterium. Its description in RNAcentral is "partial 16S ribosomal RNA". It matches the Rfam family "Bacterial small subunit ribosomal RNA", at positions 509 to 807 of the family's 1533-position model. The record is from RNAcentral.